This 500-nucleotide unclassified non-coding RNA is filed under the name uncultured Glomus. RNAcentral's name for it is "SSU rRNA". It matches the Rfam family "Eukaryotic small subunit ribosomal RNA", at positions 591 to 1092 of the family's 1831-position model. Lineage: Eukaryota; Fungi; Glomeromycota; Glomeromycetes; Glomerales; Glomeraceae. The record is from RNAcentral.
CCAAUAGCGUAUAUUAAAGUUGUUGCAGUUAAAAAGCUCGUAGUUGAAUUUCGGGAUCAGUAGGUCGGUCGUGCCACUGGUAUGAACUGGUCUCACUGGUUCCUCCCUCUUGACGAACUGCAAUGCUAUUAAUUUAGUGUUGUAGGAAAUCAGGACUGUUACUUUGAAAAAAUUAGAGUGUUUAAAGCAGGCUUUGGCUCGAAUACAUUAGCAUGGAAUAAUGAAAUAGGACGUUCGAUCCUAUUUUGUUGGCUUCUAGGAUUGACGUAAUGAUUAAUAGGGACAGUUGGGGGCAUUAGUAUUCAAUUGUCAGAGGUGAAAUUCUUGGAUUUAUUGAAGACUAACUACUGCGAAAGCAUUUGCCAAGGAUGUUUUCAUUAAUCAAGAACGAAAGUUAGGGGAUCGAAGACGAUCAGAUACCGUCGUAGUCUUAACCAUAAACUAUGCCGACUAGGGAUCGGAUGAUGUUAAUUUUUUAAUGACUCAUUCGGCGCCUUACG